UACGAAGGGGGCUAGCGUUGCUCGGAAUCAUUGGGCGUAAAGCGCACGUAGGCGGUUCGUUAUGUCGGAUGUGAAAGCCCUUGGCUUAACCGAGGAAGUGCAUCCGAAACUGGCGAGCUAGAGUACGAAAGAGGAUCGCGGAAUUCCCGGUGUAGAGGUGAAAUUCGUAGAUAUCGGGAGGAACACCGGUGGCGAAGGCGGCGAUCUGGGUCGAUACUGACGCUGAGGUGCGAGAGCGUGGGGAGCAAACAGG
This 253-nucleotide ribosomal RNA is filed under the name uncultured bacterium. RNAcentral's name for it is "partial 16S ribosomal RNA". It matches the Rfam family "Bacterial small subunit ribosomal RNA", at positions 524 to 776 of the family's 1533-position model. The record is from RNAcentral.